AGAUGUGAAGGCAAUCUGGCUGUGACAUCUUUCACCCCAUUGAUCACCAGAGUUGAUUCUGCUGUUCUGGCUGAGUAGGCAGGAUGUCUUCUUCCCUUCCUCCCUCACCACUCCUUGUGCAUCCCUCCCAAAGCUGCGCACUCAGUCAAAGAGGACGACCAUCCCUGAUAGAGGAGGACUAGCAGAUGGCGUAAUGAUUACAUCGCUGAACUCCCACAUAGUCGACCACAGUUCAAGUCCUGAACCUGGUGGCUUAA
This 257-nucleotide small RNA is filed under the name Tupaia belangeri (northern tree shrew). RNAcentral's name for it is "7SK RNA (ENSTBEG00000020430.1)". The stretch from base 1 to 190 matches the Rfam family "7SK RNA". Rfam says of the family: 7SK was discovered as an abundant small nuclear RNA in the mid-70s but a possible function has only recently been suggested. Two independent studies have found that 7SK RNA binds the CDK9/cyclin T complex (known as elongation factor P-TEFb). P-TEFb activates transcription by phosphorylating the C-terminal domain of RNA polymerase II. The record is from RNAcentral. Lineage: Eukaryota; Metazoa; Chordata; Mammalia; Scandentia; Tupaiidae.